UGGGCAUUUCUUUUUCCGGGUGUGGCUGCGGCCUCCGGGGGCGUGGGCGUCGAGACGAUGCCCUCUCUUCCGGGUGGUAGAGGUAAAACUCUCACGCGCCACAUGUCUGAAUCCUUUUUUUACGAGCACCUUUCGUUCUCCUUCGGUGGGGUGACCUGCCGUUGGAACCCAUCAAAACUCUUUUUGCAUCUAGCAUUACCUGUUCUGAUACAAACAAUCGUUACAACUUUCAACAAUGGAUCUCUUGGCUCUGGCAUCGAUGAAGAACGCACCGAAAUGCGAUAAGUAGUGUGAAUUGCAGAAUUCAUGAAUCAUCCAAUCUUUGAACGCACAUUGCGCCCCUUGGUAUUCCAUGGGGCAUGCCUGUUCGAGCGUCAUCUACACCCUUAAGCUCUGCUUGGUGUUGGGCGUCUGUCCCGCCUACGUGCGCGGACUCGCCCCAAAUUCUUUGGCAGCGGUCCUUGCCUCCUCUCGCCCACCACAUUGCUCUUCUCGUGGUGCGCUGCCCGCCUCCACGAAUUAACAUUUCCGUCUUUGACCUCGGAUCAUGUAGGCAUACCCCCUGAUCUUUUCCAUAUCAAUAACCUGCUGAAUCUUAAUUUUUUUCUCUUUACCCUUUCUCUCACUUCUUUCUCAUCCCA
Molecule: ribosomal RNA, 641 nt
Filed under: fungal sp.
Lineage: Eukaryota; Fungi
Description: eukaryotic LSU rRNA
Rfam family: 5.8S ribosomal RNA (bases 225-377)
Source: RNAcentral